CCUACGGGAGGCUGCAGUGGGGAAUAUUGCACAAUGGGGGAACCCCUGAUGCAGCGACGCCGCGUGAGUGAAGAAGUAUUUCGGUACGUAAAGCUCUAUCAGCAGGGAAGAAAAUGACGGUACCUGACUAAGAAGCCCCGGCUAACUACGUGCCAGCAGCCGCGGUAAUACGUAGGGGGCAAGCGUUAUCCGGAUUUACUGGGUGUAAAGGGAGCGUAGACGGCAGCGCAAGUCUGGAGUGAAAUCCCAUGGCUUAACCAUGGAACUGCUUUGGAAACUGUGCAGCUAGAGUGCAGGAGAGGUAAGCGGAAUUCCUAGUGUAGCGGUGAAAUGCGUAGAUAUUAGGAGGAACACCAGUGGCGAAGGCGGCUUACUGGACUGUAACUGACGUUGAGGCUCGAAAGCGUGGGGAGCAAACAGGAUUAGAUACCCCGGUAGUC
This 440-nucleotide ribosomal RNA is filed under the name uncultured bacterium. Its description in RNAcentral is "partial 16S ribosomal RNA". It matches the Rfam family "Bacterial small subunit ribosomal RNA", at positions 338 to 795 of the family's 1533-position model. The record is from RNAcentral.